UUUAUUUGAUAAUUGAAUUCUACAUGGAUAACCGUGGUAAUUCUAGAGCUAAUACAUGCUGUAAAACCUGACUUUUCGGAAAGGUUGUAUUUAUUAGAUACUAAACCAAUAUUCCUCCGGGUCUAUUGUGAUGAUUCAUAAUAACUGAUCGGAGCGCGGCUAGGCUGCGCUAAAUCAUUCAAGUUUCUGCCCUAUCAGCUUUCGAUGGUAGUGUAUUGGACUACCAUGGCAAUCACGGGUAACGGAGAAUUAGGGUUCGAUUCCGGAGAGGGAGCCUGAGAAACGGCUACCACAUCUAAGGAAGGCAGCAGGCGCGUAAAUUACCCAAUCCUGACUCAGGGAGGUAGUGACAAGAAAUAACAACUCGUGUGCGCAAGCACUACGGGAUUGCAAUGGGUACAAUCCAAAUCACUUAACGAGGAA
This 423-nucleotide ribosomal RNA is filed under the name uncultured marine alveolate. RNAcentral's name for it is "SSU rRNA". It matches the Rfam family "Eukaryotic small subunit ribosomal RNA", at positions 116 to 544 of the family's 1831-position model. The record is from RNAcentral.